Molecule: ribosomal RNA, 484 nt
Filed under: uncultured bacterium
Lineage: Bacteria
Description: partial 16S ribosomal RNA
Rfam family: Bacterial small subunit ribosomal RNA
Source: RNAcentral
AUUGAACGCUGGCGGCAGGCCUAACACAUGCAAGUCGAGCGGAUGAAGGGAGCUUGCUCCUGGAUUCAGCGGCGGACGGGUGAGUAAUGCCUAGGAAUCUGCCUGGUAGUGGGGGAUAACGUCCGGAAACGGGCGCUAAUACCGCAUACGUCCUGAGGGAGAAAGUGGGGGAUCUUCGGACCUCACGCUAUCAGAUGAGCCUAGGUCGGAUUAGCUAGUUGGUGGGGUAAAGGCCUACCAAGGCGACGAUCCGUAACUGGUCUGAGAGGAUGAUCAGUCACACUGGAACUGAGACACGGUCCAGACUCCUACGGGAGGCAGCAGUGGGGAAUAUUGGACAAUGGGCCAAAUCCUGAUCCAGUCAUGCCGCGUGUGUGAAGAAGGUCUUCGGAUUGUAAAGCACUUUAAGUUGGGAGGAAGGGCAGUAAGUUAAUACCUUGCUGUUUUGACGUUACCAACAGAAUAAGCACCGGCUAACUUCGUG